RNAcentral lists this ribosomal RNA (2923 nucleotides) under Klebsiella pneumoniae. Its description in RNAcentral is "bacterial LSU rRNA". It matches the Rfam family "Bacterial large subunit ribosomal RNA". The record is from RNAcentral. Lineage: Bacteria; Pseudomonadati; Pseudomonadota; Gammaproteobacteria; Enterobacterales; Enterobacteriaceae.
GGGUUGUGAGGUUAAGCGACUAAGCGUACACGGUGGAUGCCCUGGCAGUCAGAGGCGAUGAAGGACGUGCUAAUCUGCGAAAAGCGUCGGUAAGGUGAUAUGAACCGUUAUAACCGGCGAUGUCCGAAUGGGGAAACCCAGUGCAAUUCGUUGCACUAUCGUUAACUGAAUACAUAGGUUAACGAGGCGAACCGGGGGAACUGAAACAUCUAAGUACCCCGAGGAAAAGAAAUCAACCGAGAUUCCCCCAGUAGCGGCGAGCGAACGGGGAGCAGCCCAGAGUCUGAAUCAGCUUGUGUGUUAGUGGAACGGUCUGGAAAGUCCGACGGUACAGGGUGAUAGUCCCGUACACCAAAAUGCACAGGCUGUGAACUCGAAGAGUAGGGCGGGACACGUGGUAUCCUGUCUGAAUAUGGGGGGACCAUCCUCCAAGGCUAAAUACUCCUGACUGACCGAUAGUGAACCAGUACCGUGAGGGAAAGGCGAAAAGAACCCCGGCGAGGGGAGUGAAAAAGAACCUGAAACCGUGUACGUACAAGCAGUGGGAGCACCUUCGGGUGUGACUGCGUACCUUUUGUAUAAUGGGUCAGCGACUUAUAUUCUGUAGCAAGGUUAACCGUAUAGGGGAGCCGCAGGGAAACCGAGUCUUAACUGGGCGUUAAGUUGCAGGGUAUAGACCCGAAACCCGGUGAUCUAGCCAUGGGCAGGUUGAAGGUUGGGUAACACUAACUGGAGGACCGAACCGACUAAUGUUGAAAAAUUAGCGGAUGACUUGUGGCUGGGGGUGAAAGGCCAAUCAAACCGGGAGAUAGCUGGUUCUCCCCGAAAGCUAUUUAGGUAGCGCCUCGUGAAUUCAUCUUCGGGGGUAGAGCACUGUUUCGGCUAGGGGGUCAUCCCGACUUACCAACCCGAUGCAAACUACGAAUACCGAAGAAUGUUAUCACGGGAGACACACGGCGGGUGCUAACGUCCGUCGUGAAGAGGGAAACAACCCAGACCGCCAGCUAAGGUCCCAAAGUCAUGGUUAAGUGGGAAACGAUGUGGGAAGGCACAGACAGCCAGGAUGUUGGCUUAGAAGCAGCCAUCAUUUAAAGAAAGCGUAAUAGCUCACUGGUCGAGUCGGCCUGCGCGGAAGAUGUAACGGGGCUAAACCAUGCACCGAAGCUGCGGCAGCGACACUAUGUGUUGUUGGGUAGGGGAGCGUUCUGUAAGCCUGCGAAGGUGACCUGUGAGGGUUGCUGGAGGUAUCAGAAGUGCGAAUGCUGACAUAAGUAACGAUAAAGCGGGUGAAAAGCCCGCUCGCCGGAAGACCAAGGGUUCCUGUCCAACGUUAAUCGGGGCAGGGUGAGUCGACCCCUAAGGCGAGGCCGAAAGGCGUAGUCGAUGGGAAACAGGUUAAUAUUCCUGUACUUGGUGUUACUGCGAAGGGGGGACGGAGAAGGCUAUGUUAGCCGGGCGACGGUUGUCCCGGUUUAAGCAUGUAGGCUGAUUGUCCAGGCAAAUCCGGAUAAUCAAGGCUGAGGUGUGAUGACGAGGCACUACGGUGCUGAAGUAACAAAUGCCCUGCUUCCAGGAAAAGCCUCUAAGCAUCAGGUAACAUCAAAUCGUACCCCAAACCGACACAGGUGGUCAGGUAGAGAAUACCAAGGCGCUUGAGAGAACUCGGGUGAAGGAACUAGGCAAAAUGGUGCCGUAACUUCGGGAGAAGGCACGCUGGUGUGUAGGUGAAGCCCCUGCGGGUGGAGCUGAGACCAGUCGAAGAUACCAGCUGGCUGCAACUGUUUAUUAAAAACACAGCACUGUGCAAACACGAAAGUGGACGUAUACGGUGUGACGCCUGCCCGGUGCCGGAAGGUUAAUUGAUGGGGUUAUCCGUAAGGAGAAGCUCUUGAUCGAAGCCCCGGUAAACGGCGGCCGUAACUAUAACGGUCCUAAGGUAGCGAAAUUCCUUGUCGGGUAAGUUCCGACCUGCACGAAUGGCGUAAUGAUGGCCAGGCUGUCUCCACCCGAGACUCAGUGAAAUUGAACUCGCUGUGAAGAUGCAGUGUACCCGCGGCAAGACGGAAAGACCCCGUGAACCUUUACUAUAGCUUGACACUGAACAUUGAGCCUUGAUGUGUAGGAUAGGUGGGAGGCUUUGAAGCGUGGACGCCAGUCUGCGUGGAGCCAACCUUGAAAUACCACCCUUUAAUGUUUGAUGUUCUAACGUUGGCCCCUUACCGGGGUUGCGGACAGUGUCUGGUGGGUAGUUUGACUGGGGCGGUCUCCUCCCAAAGCGUAACGGAGGAGCACGAAGGUUAGCUAAUCCUGGUCGGACAUCAGGAGGUUAGUGCAAUGGCAUAAGCUAGCUUGACUGCGAGCGUGACGGCGCGAGCAGGUGCGAAAGCAGGUCAUAGUGAUCCGGUGGUUCUGAAUGGAAGGGCCAUCGCUCAACGGAUAAAAGGUACUCCGGGGAUAACAGGCUGAUACCGCCCAAGAGUUCAUAUCGACGGCGGUGUUUGGCACCUCGAUGUCGGCUCAUCACAUCCUGGGGCUGAAGUAGGUCCCAAGGGUAUGGCUGUUCGCCAUUUAAAGUGGUACGCGAGCUGGGUUUAGAACGUCGUGAGACAGUUCGGUCCCUAUCUGCCGUGGGCGCUGGAGAAUUGAGGGGGGCUGCUCCUAGUACGAGAGGACCGGAGUGGACGCAUCACUGGUGUUCGGGUUGUCAUGCCAAUGGCACUGCCCGGUAGCUAAAUGCGGAAGAGAUAAGUGCUGAAAGCAUCUAAGCACGAAACUUGCCCCGAGAUGAGUUCUCCCUGAGACUUUAAGUCUCCUGAAGGAACGUUGAAGACGACGACGUUGAUAGGCCGGGUGUGUAAGCGCAGCGAUGCGUUGAGCUAACCGGUACUAAUGAACCGUGAGGCUUAACCUUACAACGCCGAAG